UGUGAAAAGUCUUCAUUUGAAAGUUUGCUAAGCAACAAAUCUUUCAAAUAGAACAGGUUGCAACUCUGCUCUGCCUGGAAAGUACACAUGCAUCUGCUGAUAUAGACUGAUACAGGAGUGGCUUUUUGCAUGCAGAACACCAUUUAUCUCAAACCCAACCUAGACAAGUUCAGAUCUAUUCAGCAGGACAAAACUGGAGAGCUGCUUCAUCAGUUCCAAUCCAUACUGUGACUGGUCUCAUGGAAAGGAUCAUAUUGAUGAAUUAGUGUUGUUACCCUCCCAGCCAUGGAAGAAUACCUCACACAAAAAAAUCCAUAGGUGACUUACAGGUUUGGUAAGCAGCCUGUGAGAUUUGGGAGAAACAUUCUGGUAUACCUGUAAAUCAGCUUUGAUCUAAAUUACCUGCCAUUGU
RNAcentral lists this long non-coding RNA (412 nucleotides) under Parus major (Great Tit). RNAcentral's name for it is "lncRNA (ENSPMJG00000002111.1)". Lineage: Eukaryota; Metazoa; Chordata; Aves; Passeriformes; Paridae. The record is from RNAcentral.